This 535-nucleotide long non-coding RNA is filed under the name Physcomitrium patens. RNAcentral's name for it is "long non-coding RNA (PPAT_LNC002248)". The record is from RNAcentral. Lineage: Eukaryota; Viridiplantae; Streptophyta; Bryopsida; Funariales; Funariaceae.
CAGGAAACGACUGCUCUGGUCAGAUCCACCACCACGCGUUGACACUGUGCCCCAAGUUGCCACACACCCACACAUAUUUAACUACUCUGCCCCCACCGCAUUUGGACUGUCGCUCGUUCACACACCACUCAUGCACACAGACUCCGCUACCGUGGUUGGGCGAAUCCAUUGCCUUGGCUCCCGUCGAGCUCUUCUCUCGCUCAGUGCCGCGUGGUUCGUUGCAGUAUCUGGAACAAAUUUCCUGUAUCGUCGAAGAAUAUUCUUCUGUGAUUUGAAGGCUUGGACGCUUGUAUUUAGACGCAUAUGUCUGCAUGCUUCUCAGUGUCUGUAAAGAUGUGUGUGUAGUGUACAUGUCCAUACAUACAUACAUAUACAUACAUACAUGUUAACAUUAUUUCAGUUUUCAAGUAAUUGGGUUGACAAAUAGGCAGGAAAUCUUUGAAGAGUUGUACGAGAUGUAGGUGCUAGAUUAUCAUUGUUCAGUGAAUUGUUGAACUAGUGCCAAUGCUCUACAAACAAACAAGGGAACCCAUGA